AUGUACACGUACGUACAGCGGCAGUGUGCAAGAAAGAAAAUAUGGCCACGUACGUACAUAUGGGCUGGGUCUCGAACGCCUACUCACGCAUACGUACGGCCAGGGCUUGUGUACAUGGCUGGGUCGGAAUGGAGAAACUGCGUCGUCGUCGUGUUCAUGGGGAGCCAACUGGCUGGGUCAGAACGGAAUGCGUCGUCGUGUUCAUCGGAAGGGCUUGGACGGAACAACCGUUGGAAACGAGGCCUGGCGUACCGCAGAACGGAGGAAACGACCUUGUGUUCGACCGGCCACGGUCGAAACGGGAUCCUGUUCAUCGGGAGGGGUCUGGCGUACCGCAAAACAGAGGAAACGAACUUCUGUUGGACCUCCUACGUUCGAAACGGGGUCCUGUUGAUCGGGAGGGCUGUGGUCUACCGCAAAACGGAGGAAACGGACUUGUUUUGGAGCGCUACGGUCGAAACAGGGGUCCUGUUCAUCAGGAGGGGUGUGGCGUACCACAGAACAGGACUCCACGGGAUACUGUUCGUCUCCACCGUCGACCCCCUCAAGCCUCCACGGGCUACUGUUCAUCCAUCGUCGACCUCCUCCAGCCUCCACCUGCGACUGUUCAUCCACGGGGUCCUGUUCAUCCAGCCUCCACCGCGCGCUACUCCACCGGCUACUAUUCAACCGACCUCUCCACGGGCUCCUGUUCAACCACCCCUCCAUGGGUUACUGUUCAUCCAACCUCCACGGGGUCGUCCUGUACAUCCAGCCCUCCACGGGGUCCUGUUCAUCCAGCCCCAACCAGCUCGAUCGAUCGGGGUCCUGUUCAUCCAGAGGCAACACCACGGGGUCCUGUUCAUCCACCCCCACCGGGAACUGUUCAUCCAACCCCCCAGCAAUGCUCACUGUUCAUCCAGAGGUAGCAUCGAUCGGCUUCAGUUACCAGCAGCAGCGAAGGAAUCGCUCGAUCGGGUUCAGUUAACAGCCAUCGAUCGAUCGCUCGGGUUCAGUAACGCGUAG
Molecule: ribosomal RNA, 1005 nt
Filed under: Triticum aestivum (bread wheat)
Lineage: Eukaryota; Viridiplantae; Streptophyta; Magnoliopsida; Poales; Poaceae
Description: partial small subunit ribosomal RNA
Source: RNAcentral